UGAUUUAAUUAUUAAAUUCUUUAUUAUUUUUAAUUUGGAAUUGCAAUUUGAAAGCACUAUGACACCAGCGAGAUGAGAACCGCUGACAAUACGGAAUCGCUAAGAAAAGCGUACGAUUUUAAUCGCGGGGUUUGUGCUCUCUGGGCUCUGGGACAUUGCGAACAGAUACCACGAGUAACAACGACCGCAGUGUUCGGAUAGUAUACAUAUAGUGUGGACCAGUCAACGGCGGAUGUCCCACUAGGAGAACAAAUCGCUCGGAGGUAGAAAGAAAAACGAGAAAAAUUGGAAAUUAUUUUAUCACUCAAUGGAUUUAAGAGUGAAACUUUUUCAAAGAUGAACCGCAAAGAAGCGUAACUACGAAGAAUGCAUGUGAAACGGUCAUGGGAACAUGGAGUAGAAUCUUAAAGAUAAUAAAAAGUGACAGUGUGCUAGAAAGGUAAUCAAAAUUCUAACAGCUUGCGAAUUGUAUCGAGUCCUCUUCCUUACGACUUUUUUUUUGUUUUGAACAUUAAAAUUGUUACCAAAAUUCUACAAGUAGUGCAAGUAAUUUCUCUUAAUUAAAUACAAAUACAUAUCAAAACAUGUGUUUGCAUAAACGUAGUGCCAUGAUUGAAUCAUCAAUUGGACGUAUUUAUAAUAUUAUGUCUAUUCUGAGAUUCUUUGUGCUCUUUCUAUUUCUUGAAACGAAACUGACAAAAGAUUUCACUUUUAAACCAGUCCGAACUAACGAAGCUCUACUAAGACGACUCCAUUCCCACGCAAGAACGAUUAUAUCAACUAAAUUCAACAAAUCCCUGAUCAGACACCAACUUAAUGAAUCUCAUCGAAGCUACAACGAAUCUAGUUUCCAUCGCAGACAGUUGUCCAUUUAUUAAACGGUACGUGCAAUACUACAAAUCAUGUUUCAUAUUCUUAAUUACACAAGCUGGUCACAAAUGGAUUGUAAUUUUUCAUGGAAGUUUCAUAGAAUGAAAGAAUCAUUCAAAUGUAUAAAUAAAAGCCUGUGUACAU
Frieseomelitta varia is the source of this 1014-nucleotide RNA transcript. RefSeq lists it as uncharacterized. NCBI's taxonomy places the organism in Eukaryota, Metazoa, Arthropoda, Insecta, Hymenoptera, Apidae. The record is from RefSeq and is a predicted model, not a curated record. The transcript is spliced from 5 exons.